RNAcentral lists this long non-coding RNA (574 nucleotides) under Medicago truncatula (barrel medic). RNAcentral describes it as "lncRNA gene40358". Lineage: Eukaryota; Viridiplantae; Streptophyta; Magnoliopsida; Fabales; Fabaceae. The record is from RNAcentral.
AUGAUAUCUCUCGGUUCGUCCAUGUCAAGGAUUAUGUUGAAAGCUUGGUUUCAUAUCCUUAAAAAACACAUCAAUGUUGUCAGCUCGUCGUUCGUGUAUGGUGUGACCUUCUAGUAGCUGCGGUUUGCGUUGGUGCUUGGUAGUUUUGUGUUUUAUUCUCUGGUGCAGAUUUAGAUUAAUAUACAUGGAACCUUCGUCUUAUUUUGAUUGUGUUCACCAAAAGUAUAUCCAGGUUGAUUAAGGAUCCAGAAUUAUUCUAUGACGUGACGUACGAAGGUUGCUGCAACACAAUUCAACACUAUUUUGUUUGUACACUUAUUAAAAAAAUGACUUAUAUUUGCAAAUUAGAAAGAAUAUCAUUGGAAUUUUAGAACAUUAUUAAAAUGACUAUGGCUUUUCCAUCGACUUUUGUUAGUAGAGGCUAUCAUAGAGUUAGAGAUCACAUUUUUGGCUAAUCUCACAUCAAUUUGUUGGUUGUAUUUUUCAGAGAACACAAGUCAAGGUCAUUGUUGUAGCUAAGGCUUUGUUUGGAUGGUAAAGGAAAGUUUAAGAAAAGAAAGUAAAAUGAAUGAUU